RNAcentral lists this ribosomal RNA (2772 nucleotides) under Escherichia coli. Its description in RNAcentral is "bacterial LSU rRNA". It matches the Rfam family "Bacterial large subunit ribosomal RNA". Lineage: Bacteria; Pseudomonadati; Pseudomonadota; Gammaproteobacteria; Enterobacterales; Enterobacteriaceae. The record is from RNAcentral.
AGCGUACACGGUGGAUGCCCUGGCAGUCAGAGGCGAUGAAGGACGUGCUAAUCUGCGAUAAGCGUCGGUAAGGUGAUAUGAACCGUUAUAACCGGCGAUUUCCGAAUGGGGAAACCCAGUGUGAUUCGUCACACUAUCAUUAACUGAAUCCAUAGGUUAAUGAGGCGAACCGGGGGAACUGAAACAUCUAAGUACCCCGAGGAAAAGAAAUCAACCGAGAUUCCCCCAGUAGCGGCGAGCGAACGGGGAGGAGCCCAGAGCCUGAAUCAGUGUGUGUGUUAGUGGAAGCGUCUGGAAAGGCGCGCGAUACAGGGUGACAGCCCCGUACACAAAAAUGCACAUACUGUGAGCUCGAUGAGUAGGGCGGGACACGUGGUAUCCUGUCUGAAUAUGGGGGGACCAUCCUCCAAGGCUAAAUACUCCUGACUGACCGAUAGUGAACCAGUACCGUGAGGGAAAGGCGAAAAGAACCCCGGCGAGGGGAGUGAAAAAGAACCUGAAACCGUGUACGUACAAGCAGUGGGAGCCUCUUUUAUGGGGUGACUGCGUACCUUUUGUAUAAUGGGUCAGCGACUUAUAUUCUGUAGCAAGGUUAACCGAAUAGGGGAGCCGAAGGGAAACCGAGUCUUAACCGGGCGUUAAGUUGCAGGGUAUAGACCCGAAACCCGGUGAUCUAGCCAUGGGCAGGUUGAAGGUUGGGUAACACUAACUGGAGGACCGAACCGACUAAUGUUGAAAAAUUAGCGGAUGACUUGUGGCUGGGGGUGAAAGGCCAAUCAAACCGGGAGAUAGCUGGUUCUCCCCGAAAGCUAUUUAGGUAGCGCCUCGUGAAUUCAUCUCCGGGGGUAGAGCACUGUUUCGGCAAGGGGGUCAUCCCGACUUACCAACCCGAUGCAAACUGCGAAUACCGGAGAAUGUUAUCACGGGAGACACACGGCGGGUGCUAACGUCCGUCGUGAAGAGGGAAACAACCCAGACCGCCAGCUAAGGUCCCAAAGUCAUGGUUAAGUGGGAAACGAUGUGGGAAGGCCCAGACAGCCAGGAUGUUGGCUUAGAAGCAGCCAUCAUUUAAAGAAAGCGUAAUAGCUCACUGGUCGAGUCGGCCUGCGCGGAAGAUGUAACGGGGCUAAACCAUGCACCGAAGCUGCGGCAGCGACACUGUGUGUUGUUGGGUAGGGGAGCGUUCUGUAAGCCUGUGAAGGUGUACUGUGAGGUAUGCUGGAGGUAUCAGAAGUGCGAAUGCUGACAUAAGUAACGAUAAAGCGGGUGAAAAGCCCGCUCGCCGGAAGACCAAGGGUUCCUGUCCAACGUUAAUCGGGGCAGGGUGAGUCGACCCCUAAGGCGAGGCCGAAAGGCGUAGUCGAUGGGAAACAGGUUAAUAUUCCUGUACUUGGUGUUACUGCGAAGGGGGGACGGAGAAGGCUAUGUUGGCCGGGCGACGGUUGUCCCGGUUUAAGCGUGUAGGCUGGUUUUCCAGGCAAAUCCGGAAAAUCAAGGCUGAGGCGUGAUGACGAGGCACUACGGUGCUGAAGCAACAAAUGCCCUGCUUCCAGGAAAAGCCUCUAAGCAUCAGGUAACAUCAAAUCGUACCCCAAACCGACACAGGUGGUCAGGUAGAGAAUACCAAGGCGCUUGAGAGAACUCGGGUGAAGGAACUAGGCAAAAUGGUGCCGUAACUUCGGGAGAAGGCACGCUGAUAUGUAGGUGAAGUCCCUCGCGGAUGGAGCUGAAAUCAGUCGAAGAUACCAGCUGGCUGCAACUGUUUAUUAAAAACACAGCACUGUGCAAACACGAAAGUGGACGUAUACGGUGUGACGCCUGCCCGGUGCCGGAAGGUUAAUUGAUGGGGUCAGCGCAAGCGAAGCUCUUGAUCGAAGCCCCGGUAAACGGCGGCCGUAACUAUAACGGUCCUAAGGUAGCGAAAUUCCUUGUCGGGUAAGUUCCGACCUGCACGAAUGGCGUAAUGAUGGCCAGGCUGUCUCCACCCGAGACUCAGUGAAAUUGAACUCGCUGUGAAGAUGCAGUGUACCCGCGGCAAGACGGAAAGACCCCGUGAACCUUUACUAUAGCUUGACACUGAACAUUGAGCCUUGAUGUGUAGGAUAGGUGGGAGGCUUUGAAGUGUGGACGCCAGUCUGCAUGGAGCCGACCUUGAAAUACCACCCUUUAAUGUUUGAUGUUCUAACGUGGACCCGUGAUCCGGGUUGCGGACAGUGUCUGGUGGGUAGUUUGACUGGGGCGGUCUCCUCCUAAAGAGUAACGGAGGAGCACGAAGGUUGGCUAAUCCUGGUCGGACAUCAGGAGGUUAGUGCAAUGGCAUAAGCCAGCUUGACUGCGAGCGUGACGGCGCGAGCAGGUGCGAAAGCAGGUCAUAGUGAUCCGGUGGUUCUGAAUGGAAGGGCCAUCGCUCAACGGAUAAAAGGUACUCCGGGGAUAACAGGCUGAUACCGCCCAAGAGUUCAUAUCGACGGCGGUGUUUGGCACCUCGAUGUCGGCUCAUCACAUCCUGGGGCUGAAGUAGGUCCCAAGGGUAUGGCUGUUCGCCAUUUAAAGUGGUACGCGAGCUGGGUUUAGAACGUCGUGAGACAGUUCGGUCCCUAUCUGCCGUGGGCGCUGGAGAACUGAGGGGGGCUGCUCCUAGUACGAGAGGACCGGAGUGGACGCAUCACUGGUGUUCGGGUUGUCAUGCCAAUGGCACUGCCCGGUAGCUAAAUGCGGAAGAGAUAAGUGCUGAAAGCAUCUAAGCACGAAACUUGCCCCGAGAUGAGUUCU